CUGGGGGCAGCUACACAUGCAGUCGAGCGGUAGCACAGAGAGCUUGCUCUCGGGUGACGAGCGGCGGACGGGUGAGUAAUGUCUGGGAAACUGCCUGAUGGAGGGGGAUAACUACUGGAAACGGUAGCUAAUACCGCAUAACGUCGCAAGACCAAAGUGGGGGACCUUCGGGCCUCAUGCCAUCAGAUGUGCCCAGAUGGGAUUAGCUAGUAGGUGGGGUAACGGCUCACCUAGGCGACGAUCCCUAGCUGGUCUGAGAGGAUGACCAGCCACACUGGAACUGAGACACGGUCCAGACUCCUACGGGAGGCAGCAGUGGGGAAUAUUGCACAAUGGGCGCAAGCCUGAUGCAGCCAUGCCGCGUGUGUGAAGAAGGCCUUCGGGUUGUAAAGCACUUUCAGCGGGGAGGAAGGCGUUGAGGUUAAUAACCUUGGCGAUUGACGUUACCCGCAGAAGAAGCACCGGCUAACUCCGUGCCAGCAGCCGCGGUAAUACGGAGGGUGCAAGCGUUAAUCGGAAUUACUGGGCGUAAAGCGCACGCAGGCGGUCUGUCAAGUCGGAUGUGAAAUCCCCGGGCUCAACCUGGGAACUGCAUUCGAAACUGGCAGGCUAGAGUCUUGUAGAGGGGGGUAGAAUUCCAGGUGUAGCGGUGAAAUGCGUAGAGAUCUGGAGGAAUACCGGUGGCGAAGGCGGCCCCCUGGACAAAGACUGACGCUCAGGUGCGAAAGCGUGGGGAGCAAACAGGAUUAGAUACCCUGGUAGUCCACGCCGUAAACGAUGUCGAUUUGGAGGUUGUGCCCUUGAGGCGUGGCUUCCGGAGCUAACGCGUUAAAUCGACCGCCUGGGGAGUACGGCCGCAAGGUUAAAACUCAAAUGAAUUGACGGGGGCCCGCACAAGCGGUGGAGCAUGUGGUUUAAUUCGAUGCAACGCGAAGAACCUUACCUGGUCUUGACAUCCACAGAACUUUCCAGAGAUGGAUUGGUGCCUUCGGGAACUGUGAGACAGGUGCUGCAUGGCUGUCGUCAGCUCGUGUUGUGAAAUGUUGGGUUAAGUCCCGCAACGAGCGCAACCCUUAUCCUUUGUUGCCAGCGGUCCGGCCGGGAACUCAAAGGAGACUGCCAGUGAUAAACUGGAGGAAGGUGGGGAUGACGUCAAGUCAUCAUGGCCCUUACGACCAGGGCUACACACGUGCUACAAUGGCAUAUACAAAGAGAAGCGACCUCGCGAGAGCAAGCGGACCUCAUAAAGUAUGUCGUAGUCCGGAUUGGAGUCUGCAACUCGACUCCAUGAAGUCGGAAUCGCUAGUAAUCGUAGAUCAGAAUGCUACGGUGAAUACGUUCCCGGGCCUUGUACACACCGCCCGUCACACCAUGGGAGUGGGUUGCAAAAGAAGUAGGUAGCUUAACCUUCGGGAGGGCGCUUACCACUUUGGAUAU
Molecule: ribosomal RNA, 1437 nt
Filed under: Klebsiella sp.
Lineage: Bacteria; Pseudomonadati; Pseudomonadota; Gammaproteobacteria; Enterobacterales; Enterobacteriaceae
Description: bacterial SSU rRNA
Rfam family: Bacterial small subunit ribosomal RNA
Source: RNAcentral